Molecule: non-coding RNA, 118 nt
Filed under: human oral metagenome
Description: SAM riboswitch (S box leader)
Rfam family: SAM riboswitch aptamer (S box leader)
About the family: The SAM riboswitch is found upstream of a number of genes which code for proteins involved in methionine or cysteine biosynthesis in Gram-positive bacteria.
Source: RNAcentral
CUUAUCGAGAGCGGCUGAGGGAAUAGGCCCUGUGAAGCCCGGCAACCUGUUGUACUGUUUACCGUCGAUUCAGCUGCAACAAGGUGCUAAAUCCUACAGGGACUCCUGGAAGAUGAGG